UUGCGCGUGAGCCCUAGCAAGCACUCAGCCGCAGAAGGCUAUAACCUCUUUUUUCCCAUGGUUCUGUGUGAAGUAGGACAAAACAUAUUCCGUCAUUCCAUGUCUUGUUUGCGGUCUUCUCAGCCCUCGAGCUCAGCUUAAGCAGCCAGCAUCUCUGUAAUAUUUAGGUCACUUUUUUUAAGAGAAAAAAAAGAGAGAGUAGGGUUUCAAUGGAAAGUGCCAGUGCCUGUGCUCGAAUUUGGUCGAGAAAUGUGCCCAGAAAUGGAAGUGAAGCAAUGAGCAUUCUAUUUGUAGGGGUAUUGCCCGAGUUGCAGAGACACAAGGAGCAACGAUGCAUCAGUCGGAAACGAGAGAGAAUGCAAAUUUAGUAUUAUUUUAGAGAACUCUUAAUAGCACUCCAAAAAUCUCAUUAUACAUUUUUCAUAAAUGUAAUUUUCUUACUAAUUAUAGAAAGUUUAGAGUGCAAAAUAAGAUUUUUGGAGUGCCAAUAACAAUUAUUUUGUUUUAAGUUUAACAUUAUGCUAAAUUCGCUCUCCUCCUAGCUAAUGUUCAUUUUGUUGAUUUAGCUAGUGGGAUUGCUAGUCUGUUGGACUUCCA
Long non-coding RNA from Malus domestica (apple), 597 nucleotides. RefSeq lists it as uncharacterized. The record is from RefSeq and is a predicted model, not a curated record. Lineage: Eukaryota; Viridiplantae; Streptophyta; Magnoliopsida; Rosales; Rosaceae.